CUCGCCUAUGCCGGGGACGGCGCCCGCUUCCGCCUGCCGUUCACGGCGCUCGGGCUCAGUCCCGAGGGCGGGUC
This 74-nucleotide transfer RNA is filed under the name Methylobacterium mesophilicum. Its description in RNAcentral is "tRNA-Gly". Lineage: Bacteria; Pseudomonadati; Pseudomonadota; Alphaproteobacteria; Hyphomicrobiales; Methylobacteriaceae. The record is from RNAcentral.